This 484-nucleotide ribosomal RNA is filed under the name uncultured bacterium. RNAcentral describes it as "partial 16S ribosomal RNA". It matches the Rfam family "Bacterial small subunit ribosomal RNA", at positions 30 to 507 of the family's 1533-position model. The record is from RNAcentral.
AUUGAACGCUGGCGGCAGGCCUAACACAUGCAAGUCGAGCGGAUGAAGGGAGCUUGCUCCUGGUUUCAGCGGCGGACGGGUGAGUAAUGCCUAGGAAUCUGCCUGGUAGUGGGGGAUAACGUCCGGAAACGGGCGCUAAUACCGCAUACGUCCUGAGGGAGAAAGUGGGGGAUCUUCGGACCUCACGCUAUCAGAUGAGCCUAGGUCGGAUUAGCUAGUUGGUGGGGUAAAGGCCUACCAAGGCGACGAUCCGUAACUGGUCUGAGAGGAUGAUCAGUCACACUGGAACUGAGACACGGUCCAGACUCCUACGGGAGGCAGCAGUGGGGAAUAUUGGACAAUGGGCGAAAGCCUGAUCCAGCCAUGCCGCGUGUGUGAAGAAGGUCUUCGGAUUGUAAAGCACUUUAAGUUGGGAGGAAGGGCAAUAAGUUAAUACCUUGCUGUUUUGACGUUACCAACAGAAUAAGCACCGGCUAACUUCGUG